UGUAGGCGGUUAAGCAAGUCAGAUGUGAAAGCCUUCCGCUUAACGGGAGAAGUGCAUUUGAAACUACCUGGCUGGAGUUCGGGAGAGGAGAGUGGAAUUCCCGGUGUAGAGGUGAAAUUCGUAGAUAUCGGGAGGAACACCGGUGGCGAAGGCGGCUCUCUGGCCCGAUACUGACGCUGAGACGCGAAAGCGUGGGGAGCAAACAGGAUUAGAUACCCUGGUAGUCCACGCCGUAAACGAUGGGCACUAGGUGUAGGAGGUAUUGACCCCUUCUGUGCCGAAGCUAACGCAUUAAGUGCCCCGCCUGGGGAGUACGGCCGCAAGGCUAAA
This 330-nucleotide ribosomal RNA is filed under the name uncultured bacterium. RNAcentral describes it as "bacterial SSU rRNA". It matches the Rfam family "Bacterial small subunit ribosomal RNA", at positions 570 to 898 of the family's 1533-position model. The record is from RNAcentral.